This 402-nucleotide ribosomal RNA is filed under the name uncultured Roseomonas sp. Its description in RNAcentral is "bacterial SSU rRNA". It matches the Rfam family "Bacterial small subunit ribosomal RNA", at positions 353 to 772 of the family's 1533-position model. The record is from RNAcentral. Lineage: Bacteria; Pseudomonadati; Pseudomonadota; Alphaproteobacteria; Acetobacterales; Roseomonadaceae.
AGUGGGGAAUAUUGGACAAUGGGCGCAAGCCUGAUCCAGCAAUGCCGCGUGGAUGAAGAAGGUUUUCGGAUUGUAAAGUCCUUUCGGCGGGGACGAUGAUGACGGUACCCGCAGAAGAAGCCCCGGCUAACUUCGUGCCAGCAGCCGCGGUAAUACGAAGGGGGCUAGCGUUGCUCGGAAUGACUGGGCGUAAAGGGCGCGUAGGCGGCUGUCUUUGUCGGGCGUGAAAUUCCUGGGCUCAACCUGGGGGCUGCGUUCGAGACGGGACGGCUGGAGGUCAGAAGAGGCUCGUGGAAUUCCCAGUGUAGAGGUGAAAUUCGUAGAUAUUGGGAAGAACACCGGUGGCGAAGGCGGCGAGCUGGUCUGAUACUGACGCUGAGGCGCGACAGCGUGGGGAGCAAA